This 1370-nucleotide small RNA is filed under the name Histoplasma capsulatum. RNAcentral describes it as "hypothetical RNA". RNAcentral also lists the same sequence under 1 other name. The record is from RNAcentral. Lineage: Eukaryota; Fungi; Ascomycota; Eurotiomycetes; Onygenales; Ajellomycetaceae.
ACACAACAACGGCACUGGCGCAGGGCAGCCAAACAGCAACCAAACAGCUGCCAAACAGCUGCCAGACACCAACGACCAAGACUGGCAGGUCCUUGGACUGGCUGAGACGACUCCAGGCACGGGAACCAGGAACCACACUCUGGCAGGCCCGGGCUGCUAGUCUCAACGCAGCCGAGUCCGCGCAAGGCCCACGCUGCCCGGCUGCUGCUGACUGGAACCUUGGGGCACCCCCCACACCCUUGAAACCUGGUAAGAAGCGUGUCUGGCCGUAAGCAGCUAGCCGGAUCGUGGUUGUCUUGCCUGGAGUUGCGGCCAAUCAAUCCCCGGACUCAGGUGCAAGUUGGGCAAACAGGUGCAGCAGGUGAGCAGGAGCAGGCACAAGUGCCGGCUGGCUUGGCAGAAGAGAGAGACUAGUAUGUUGUCAGCUGAGGUCUGAUAUAUUAAUAUAUUUAUAACCACCCAUGACUUAUGUAUAAACUGCGCCUGUAUAUGUAUGUCGUCCCUCGUGGCGCCGUUUGGGGGCGAAGCCCGAUUCACCCUCCAUAAUGUACUGUACCAUGGGGUGCGCUGUGCCAUGUACUGUACCUCGGCUACCAUCAUCCUAGUCAGAACAAAAAAGUGAAGAAAGAAAGAAGAAAAAAGAGAAAACGUCAUGAGGGCCAGAUUCAAUAAUUCUAGAUCCUCUUUUUCUUUUUCCUGUAGUGGGCGGUCAGUUGUCAGUUCACAUAAUUCCCGACAUGAACUAGUUUUGACCCGGCAGCUGUCAGUCAUGAUCUGAAUAUGAAAAAAAAAAAAAUAAAUAAAUAUAUCAAUUGAUAUAAAUAAGAAGAAAAUAAAGAAAAUAAAACCUCACACAAUCAAGUAGCAAGUAUUAUUCUAUCUCAUAUCCGUUUCUUAUUCGUUACAAAAAUUGUUCCUUGCUACUAACCUAGUCUAAAUCGCAUUAUUGUAUAUUUAUACCAUCAAGCAGGGAGGGAUCCAUUGCUCGAUAAUAACUAACACAUACACAAAAACGCAGCAACCCGAAAAGAAAAAAAAAGAUUAAUGCAUUCUGCAGGUCGGUCUGGCAAUCUGAUAAGUCCAGGGAGAAAAUAAUAGGUAGGGGGUUGGGAGGAACAUGUGUUGUACUGUACAUACAGGCUUGGAUCAGACAGUCGCUAGUAGAUAGCUUUUACACCGUGAACCUUUUUUUUCCAUGGUGCUGCACUUCUGCUCUACUGCAUAUUGCGUAAUCCUCAUGCCAGGGAUAUCUGGUUUGGUUUCUUUCUGGGUUCCCCUGCCAGUAGUUGAUGCGCAUAUAGUUAUGGAUUGGAUAAGCCGCAUCAAUCAAUUGUUUAUAUCUCGUUGUUAUUACAGGGGUUGAGAUGGGU